AUGUUCCACUAUACAGAUGGAAGGGCAGCAGUCUACCAGUGUAGCUCUGAUUCUCUUUGCUACCCAAGACAAAACUUCAAGAGGUCUGAACUAAUGAAGACACCCAAGCCAGUAGCAUUUCUAGCACUCCUUGAAAACUGAGACUUCACAUGCAAAAAAUACUACUCAAUUUGGACAAAGUUAAGACAUUAUUUAUGCUCUCCAAAGAGUCAAUUUUGGGGUUCAUCUCCAGUAAUGCCUUUUGGUCUUUGGAAUGGUAAAUAAAUCCACUGCCAUCCUGUAUCCCUAAGAGUCUCUGGACUUUUAUUUCACUUUCUUGGGAUCUGUAACAUCUUUCUGAAUUUUGCUUAUCAACAAUUGGAAGAAAUGUAUAUCAUGGGUUAUUUUGUCCAAUAACACAGAUUUGCUGAGCUUUUAUUUAUUUAUGUUUUUGUAGUGGGUAGGAAAUAACUUGUACCACAUCAAAAGUGAGUGUAGCUUAUAUUUAAUAACCAUCAAUUACCAAAGAAAGUUCUGGUAGUUUGCUCAACUUUAGUUUUGUUUUCUUCCUAGCAUUUGAGAAUUGUUGUAUAGAACCAAUUCGUAAGUGCAGGAGAAAAGGGCCACUUUGGUAUAUUACUGACGUUGA
RNAcentral lists this long non-coding RNA (628 nucleotides) under Canis lupus familiaris (dog). RNAcentral describes it as "lncRNA (ENSCAFG00030026280.1)". Lineage: Eukaryota; Metazoa; Chordata; Mammalia; Carnivora; Canidae. The record is from RNAcentral.